GCCCUGGUGGCACAGCGGUUAAAGCAUUUGGCUGCUAACCAAAAGGUCAGCAGUUCGAGCCCACCAGGGGA
This 71-nucleotide transfer RNA is filed under the name Loxodonta africana (African savanna elephant). It matches the Rfam family "tRNA". From Rfam's summary of the family: Transfer RNA (tRNA) molecules are approximately 80 nucleotides in length. Their secondary structure includes four short double-helical elements and three loops (D, anti-codon, and T loops). Further hydrogen bonds mediate the characteristic L-shaped molecular structure. tRNAs have two regions of fundamental functional importance: the anti-codon, which is responsible for specific mRNA codon recognition, and the 3' end, to which the tRNAs corresponding amino acid is attached (by aminoacyl-tRNA synthetases). tRNAs cope with the degeneracy of the genetic code in two manners: having more than one tRNA (with a specific anti-codon) for a particular amino acid; and 'wobble' base-pairing, i.e. permitting non-standard base-pairing at the 3rd anti-codon position. Lineage: Eukaryota; Metazoa; Chordata; Mammalia; Proboscidea; Elephantidae. The record is from Rfam by way of RNAcentral.